UAAUACGUAGGUGGCAAGCGUUGUCCGGAUUUACUGGGCGUAAAGAGUAUGUAGGCGGAUGUUUAAGUAGAAAGUGAAAGGUUGGAGCUUAACUCCAACACUGCUUCCUAUACUGGAUAUCUUGAGUGCCGGAGAGGAAAGCGGAACGACACGUGUAGCGGUGAAAUGCGUUGAUAUGUGUCGGAACACCAAUGGCGAAGGCAGCUUUCUGGACGGAGCCGCAAGGCUUAAAACUGACGCUGAGAUACGAAAGCCGAGGGAGCGAACAGGAUUAGAUACCCUGGUAGUCUCGGCCCUAAACGAUGUUCACUAGGUGUCGGGGGGUAACCUCCGGUGCCGCAGCUAACGCAUUAAGUGAACCGCCUGGGGACUACGGCCGCAAGGUUG
This 387-nucleotide ribosomal RNA is filed under the name uncultured bacterium. RNAcentral describes it as "bacterial SSU rRNA". It matches the Rfam family "Bacterial small subunit ribosomal RNA", at positions 521 to 896 of the family's 1533-position model. The record is from RNAcentral.